RNAcentral lists this ribosomal RNA (274 nucleotides) under uncultured bacterium. RNAcentral describes it as "partial 16S ribosomal RNA". It matches the Rfam family "Bacterial small subunit ribosomal RNA", at positions 523 to 796 of the family's 1533-position model. The record is from RNAcentral.
AUACGGAGGGUGCAAGCGUUAUCCGGAUUCAUUGGGUUUAAAGGGUUCGCAGGCGGCGUAUUAAGUCAGUGGUGAAAUCCCGAGGCUCAACCUCGGAACUGCCAUUGAUACUGGUAUGCUAGAGUAUAGUUGGCGUUGGCGGAAUGUAUCAUGUAGCGGUGAAAUGCUUAGAUAUGAUACAGAACACCAAUCGCGAAGGCAGCUAACGAAACUAUAACUGACGCUCAGGAACGAAAGCGUGGGGAGCGAACAGGAUUAGAAACCCCGGUAGUCC